Molecule: long non-coding RNA, 461 nt
Organism: Athene cunicularia (burrowing owl)
Lineage: Eukaryota; Metazoa; Chordata; Aves; Strigiformes; Strigidae
Exons: 2
Source: RefSeq, a predicted model, not a curated record
GCGGGGAUCUCCCGGGCACCCGCCCCUCUGCCGGCGGCGCUGACAGACCGCUCCUCCCUCCCUCCCUCCCUUCUCUCUUCCAGACGAGUUUGCCACACAGGAGUACAGCGCUCCCUGCGCCACAGAGGAAGUAGACCAGGGCAAUGCAUGAAGAAUACUCCCAGCUGCUGGAACCCACCUGCCUCACUACCGCCACCACCAUCUACGGAGUAAGAGAUGAAUAGUGCCUGCAAGGAACGGGAAGUGAACUUUACAAAUAAAUUAACUGUAGUCACCAAUGAUUUUUGAACAGUUUAUUCCCACUUGUGUUUUUUCUUGCUCAGCCUCCAGUCACAUCUUUAAUCCCCCCAACUUCUUAGGUUGAAGAGUAUCCCAUCCAGCCAUGCUGUGUGCAGGGCAACAAGGCCGACAAGUAAGACAAAAAAAAAAAAAAGACUGAUUUAAGUUGAGGUCAGCCUUUC